AGCAGCCGCGGUAAUUCCAGCUCCAAUAGCGUAUAUUAAAGUUGUUGCAGUUAAAAAGCUCGUAGUUGAAUUUCGAGACCGGCUUACUGGUCGUGCUUUUGUACGUACUGGUAUAAUCGGUUUCUCCUUUCUGACGAACUAUAAUGCCAUUAAUUUGGUGUUAUAGGGAAUCAGGACUGUUACUUUGAAAAAAUUAGAGUGUUUAAAGCAGGCUCACGCUUGAAUACAUUAGCAUGGAAUAACGGAAUAGGACGUUUGAUUCUAUUUUGUUGGUUUCUAGGAUCGACGUAAUGAUUAAUAGGGAUAGUUGGGGGCAUUAGUAUUCAAUUGUCAGAGGUGAAAUUCUUGGAUUUAUUGAAGACUAACUACUGCGAAAGCAUUUGCCAAGGAUGUUUUCAUUAAUCAAGAACGAAAGUUAGGGGAUCGAAGACGAUCAGAUACCGUCGUAGUCUUAACCAUGAACUAUGCCGACUAGGGAUCGGAUGGAUGUUAAUUUUUAAUGACUCAUUCGGCGCCUUAC
This 520-nucleotide ribosomal RNA is filed under the name uncultured Glomus. RNAcentral's name for it is "SSU rRNA". It matches the Rfam family "Eukaryotic small subunit ribosomal RNA", at positions 569 to 1091 of the family's 1831-position model. The record is from RNAcentral. Lineage: Eukaryota; Fungi; Glomeromycota; Glomeromycetes; Glomerales; Glomeraceae.